RNAcentral lists this transfer RNA (69 nucleotides) under Ictidomys tridecemlineatus (thirteen-lined ground squirrel). Its description in RNAcentral is "Spermophilus tridecemlineatus (thirteen-lined ground squirrel) tRNA". It matches the Rfam family "tRNA". Rfam says of the family: Transfer RNA (tRNA) molecules are approximately 80 nucleotides in length. Their secondary structure includes four short double-helical elements and three loops (D, anti-codon, and T loops). Lineage: Eukaryota; Metazoa; Chordata; Mammalia; Rodentia; Sciuridae. The record is from Rfam by way of RNAcentral.
GGGGUCGUGGCUCAGCGGUAGAGCGCUCACCUAGCAAGUGAGCAGCCCUAGGUUGGAUCCUCAGCACCA